GGUUAUGGCUCAGUGGUAGAGUGCGUGCCUCCUACAUGCAAGGCCCUGGGUUUGAUCCUCAGCACCA
RNAcentral lists this transfer RNA (67 nucleotides) under Marmota monax (woodchuck). RNAcentral's name for it is "tRNA.Arg". The record is from RNAcentral. Lineage: Eukaryota; Metazoa; Chordata; Mammalia; Rodentia; Sciuridae.